This 630-nucleotide ribosomal RNA is filed under the name Escherichia coli. Its description in RNAcentral is "bacterial LSU rRNA". It matches the Rfam family "Bacterial large subunit ribosomal RNA", at positions 221 to 888 of the family's 2925-position model. The record is from RNAcentral. Lineage: Bacteria; Pseudomonadati; Pseudomonadota; Gammaproteobacteria; Enterobacterales; Enterobacteriaceae.
GAAAUCAACCGAGAUUCCCCCGUUGCGGCGAGCGAACGGGGNGUCGCCCAGAGCCUGAAUCAGUGUGUGUGUUAGUUGGAAGCGUCUGGAAAGGCGCGCGAUACAGGGUGACAGCCCCGUACACAAAAAUGCACAUGCUGUGGAGCUCGAUGAGUAGGGCGGGACACGUGGUAUCCUGUCUGAAUAUGGGGGGACCAUCCUCCAAGGCUAAAUACUCCUGACUGAGCCGAUAGUGAACCAGUACCGUGAGGAAAGGCGAAAAGAACCCCGGCGAGGAGUGAAAGACCGAAACCGUGUACCGUUACCAAGCAGUUGUGUGUAUGCACGUCUUAGGCGUUGUUGACUGCGUACCUUUUGUAUAAUGGGUCAGCGACUUAUAUUCUGUAGCAAGAGUUAACCGAAUAGGGGAGCCGAAGGAAACCGAGUCUUAACUGGGCGUUAAGUUGCAGGGUAUAGACCCGAAACCCGGUGAUCAGCCAUGGUCGGUUCGAAGGUUGGUAACACUAACUGGAGGACCGAACCGACUAAUGUCGAAAAAUUAGCGGAUGACUUGUGGCUGGGGGCGAAAGGCCAAUCAAACCGGGAGAUAGCUGGUUCUCCCCGAAAGCUAUUUAGGUAGCGCCUCGUGAA